This is a non-coding RNA of Pogona vitticeps (central bearded dragon), 1400 nucleotides long. Lineage: Eukaryota; Metazoa; Chordata; Lepidosauria; Squamata; Agamidae. The record is from RefSeq and is a predicted model, not a curated record.
GACUGGGUGGGGAGAAAGAAAGAGUGAAAGCAAAUAGAUGAUAUUUUAAGUCACAAACUGUUCUGAACCCCUUUUAAAGCAAGAGGAAUGGAACAUUUAGAUUUGAUAUCCUGGCCUCAGCCAAUCUGAAGCAGCUUUUCACCUGCCACUGCCUUUUUCUCCAAUGAAAAUGUGUGUUUGGAGUGAGAGCCCUCCCCAGCCAAUCAUGUGCAAGCUCAGGCACUCAGUUAAUGAUGCAGCAGUACAGGGAAGACUAUCACAUGUGAGCUGGAAGACUGCCAACAUGGAGACACGGAGAGAGCAAGAGAAAGCAACGCUAAGAUUUUGAUGCCUGUGACUUUGCACCUUGAGGUCACCAACAGCAGAACUGUGCUGGUCUCAGGAGAGGACUCGGGCCACCAAAACACACAAGUAAUCACUUCAAUAUGAGCUAUUUUAGAGCACUUCAUGCCUGAAAGUGACAUCUGUUGUGCGCAGAUGCAUGAAAGAACAAUUGCAAACUUCCAAAUGCGAAAACUGCAGAGAUGCAGAGCUCAAAAUGCAUGGGAGGAAAAGGCAAAUUCAGGAGUGUUGGACAGUUACAAGGCACUUCCAAGACAGCAAGAGGUCUGGUAUAACUUCCCUGAUGCCUAUGGUUAAGCAGUGCUCUUCCUGCCUUCUUUUUCUAAAUGAUUCAUUUAAUUGUUUGCCUCCCUCCUCAAAUUCAAAAAGCAGUUUCUGCAACGCUAAUCUGUCAAACAGGAUGUCUGAUGAGUCUGGGCAGAGGAAUGGGGGGGGGGCUUCCGCUGGCUCUCUGAGUGACUGUAUUUUGCUAGGUAAAACUUUUAAAAAAAUGAUGACAAAUGAACCACAGAGGACAAGAAACAGUGUUCUUUUUACUGAACUUAAUCUCCCUUUUUUUGCUGGUAAAGCCAGUAUUAAAAGCAGACAUACACAAGAUAUGUGAAGCACAACCUUUAACAAAUACAGAAACCUCUGAUACUGUGCUUUUCCCAAGAAUCACAGUAAGAGUUUCGUGAUCUGCCUUUUGAGAAACGCUGCAACGCAUCAGAAGAUGCUAAAGAAAAAGAAAAUGACUGCCAUGCCUUCACAUGUCUUAUGAGAACAAACUGUUCCCAAAACUGAAACAUGCCCACAUACUUCUUUACUCAUACCGAGAAUGCAACCUGUAAUGCACAAAUUAUAGGGUAAAAGGUACUAUGGUGUUCCCUUGAGCUGUAACAUGGGAGAAUGCCAGCAACAGUACUGGUGAAUACUAGCUACAAAGAGACAGAGGCAUGCACUGCCAAUCAGUGCCAAGAUUAUUUCAAGUAUCCACUAUGGUUACAUUUAUAUGGAAAGCAUACAUCCUUUUGUAUUCGCGAAGGCUUUCACGGCCGGGAUCUAAUGGUUGUUGUGGG